GACGAACGCUGGCGGCGUGCUUAACACAUGCAAGUCGAACGGAAAGGCCCUGCUUGCAGGGUACUCGAGUGGCGAACGGGUGAGUAACACGUGGGUGAUCUGCCCUGCACUUCGGGAUAAGCCUGGGAAACUGGGUCUAAUACCGCAUAGGAGCCAUUUUUAGUGUGAUGGUUGGAAAGUUUUUUCGGUGUAGGAUGAGCUCGCGGCCUAUCAGCUUGUUGGUGGGGUAAUGGCCUACCAAGGCGGCGACGGGUAGCCGGCCUGAGAGGGUGGACGGCCACAUUGGGACUGAGAUACGGCCCAGACUCCUACGGGAGGCAGCAGUGGGGAAUAUUGCACAAUGGGCGCAAGCCUGAUGCAGCGACGCCGCGUGGGGGAUGACGGCCUUCGGGUUGUAAACUCCUUUCGCUAGGGACGAAGCUUUUGUGACGGUACCUAGAUAAGAAGCACCGGCUAACUACGUG
RNAcentral lists this ribosomal RNA (464 nucleotides) under uncultured bacterium. RNAcentral's name for it is "partial 16S ribosomal RNA". It matches the Rfam family "Bacterial small subunit ribosomal RNA", at positions 28 to 507 of the family's 1533-position model. The record is from RNAcentral.